RNAcentral lists this ribosomal RNA (508 nucleotides) under uncultured Bacteroidota bacterium. Its description in RNAcentral is "bacterial SSU rRNA". It matches the Rfam family "Bacterial small subunit ribosomal RNA", at positions 317 to 822 of the family's 1533-position model. Lineage: Bacteria; Pseudomonadati; Bacteroidota. The record is from RNAcentral.
UACUGAGACACGGACCAGACUCCUACGGGAGGCAGCAGUGAGGAAUAUUGGUCAAUGGGCGCAAGCCUGAACCAGCCAUGCCGCGUGCAGGAUGACGGUCCUAUGGAUUGUAAACUGCUUUUGUACAGGAAGAAACAACUCUACGUGUAGAGUCUUGACGGUACUGUAAGAAUAAGGAUCGGCUAACUCCGUGCCAGCAGCCGCGGUAAUACGGAGGAUCCAAGCGUUAUCCGGAAUCAUUGGGUUUAAAGGGUCCGUAGGCGGUUUAGUAAGUCAGUGGUGAAAGCCCAUCGCUCAACGGUGGAACGGCCAUUGAUACUGCUAAACUUGAAUUAUUAGGAAGUAACUAGAAUAUGUAGUGUAGCGGUGAAAUGCUUAGAGAUUACAUGGAAUACCAAUUGCGAAGGCAGGUUACUACUAAUGGAUUGACGCUGAUGGACGAAAGCGUGGGUAGCGAACAGGAUUAGAUACCCUGGUAGUCCACGCCGUAAACGAUGGAUACUAGCUG